AGCGUACACGGUGGAUGCCCUGGCAGUCAGAGGCGAUGAAGGACGUGCUAAUCUGCGAUAAGCGCCGGUAAGGUGAUAUGAACCGUUAUAACCGGCGAUUUCCGAAUGGGGAAACCCAGUGUGAUUCGUCACACUAUCAUUAACUGAAUCCAUAGGUUAAUGAGGCGAACCGGGGGAACUGAAACAUCUAAGUACCCCGAGGAAAAGAAAUCAACCGAGAUUCCCCCAGUAGCGGCGAGCGAACGGGGAGGAGCCCAGAGCCUGAAUCAGCAUGUGUGUUAGUGGAAGCGUCUGGAAAGGCGCGCGAUACAGGGUGACAGCCCCGUACACAAAAGCGCAUGUGCUGUGAGCUCGAUGAGUAGGGCGGGACACGUGGUAUCCUGUCUGAAUAUGGGGGGACCAUCCUCCAAGGCUAAAUACUCCUGACUGACCGAUAGUGAACCAGUACCGUGAGGGAAAGGCGAAAAGAACCCCGGCGAGGGGAGUGAAAAAGAACCUGAAACCGUGUACGUACAAGCAGUGGGAGCACAGGUUUACCUGUGUGACUGCGUACCUUUUGUAUAAUGGGUCAGCGACUUAUAUUCUGUAGCAAGGUUAACCGUAUAGGGGAGCCGUAGGGAAACCGAGUCUUAACCGGGCGUUAAGUUGCAGGGUAUAGACCCGAAACCCGGUGAUCUAGCCAUGGGCAGGUUGAAGGUUGGGUAACACUAACUGGAGGACCGAACCGACUAAUGUUGAAAAAUUAGCGGAUGACCUGUGGCUGGGGGUGAAAGGCCAAUCAAACCGGGAGAUAGCUGGUUCUCCCCGAAAGCUAUUUAGGUAGCGCCUCGUGAAUUCAUCUCCGGGGGUAGAGCACUGUUUCGGCUAGGGGGCCAUCCCGGCUUACCAACCCGAUGCAAACUGCGAAUACCGGAGAAUGUUAUCACGGGAGACACACGGCGGGUGCUAACGUCCGUCGUGAAGAGGGAAACAACCCAGACCGCCAGCUAAGGUCCCAAAGUCAUGGUUAAGUGGGAAACGAUGUGGGAAGGCCCAGACAGCCAGGAUGUUGGCUUAGAAGCAGCCAUCAUUUAAAGAAAGCGUAAUAGCUCACUGGUCGAGUCGGCCUGCGCGGAAGAUGUAACGGGGCUAAACCAUGCACCGAAGCUGCGGCAGCGAACGUAUCACCCAAGACAACUUUACGGAGUUGACGAUUGACGGAGCGAAGCGACGUCAAAGCGUUCAUUAAAGUCGAGUUGGCUUAGGGAUACGUUCGUUGGGUAGGGGAGCGUUCUGUAAGCCUGUGAAGGUGUGUCGUGAGGCAUGCUGGAGGUAUCAGAAGUGCGAAUGCUGACAUAAGUAACGAUAAAGCGGGUGAAAAGCCCGCUCGCCGGAAGACCAAGGGUUCCUGUCCAACGUUAAUCGGGGCAGGGUGAGUCGACCCCUAAGGCGAGGCCGAAAGGCGUAGUCGAUGGGAAACGGGUUAAUAUUCCCGUACUUGGUGUUACUGCGAAGGGGGGACGGAGAAGGCUAUGUUGGCCGGGCGACGGUUGUCCCGGUUUAAGCGUGUAGGUGUGUGUUCCAGGUAAAUCCGGUUCACUUUAACACUGAGGCGUGACGACGAGGCACUACGGUGCUGAAGCAACAAAUGCCCUGCUUCCAGGAAAAGCCUCUAAGCAUCAGGUAACAUCAAAUCGUACCCCAAACCGACACAGGUGGUCAGGUAGAGAAUACCAAGGCGCUUGAGAGAACUCGGGUGAAGGAACUAGGCAAAAUGGUGCCGUAACUUCGGGAGAAGGCACGCUGACACGUAGGUGAAGUGAUUUACUCAUGGAGCUGAAGUCAGUCGAAGAUACCAGCUGGCUGCAACUGUUUAUUAAAAACACAGCACUGUGCAAACACGAAAGUGGACGUAUACGGUGUGACGCCUGCCCGGUGCCGGAAGGUUAAUUGAUGGGGUCAGCGCAAGCGAAGCUCCUGAUCGAAGCCCCGGUAAACGGCGGCCGUAACUAUAACGGUCCUAAGGUAGCGAAAUUCCUUGUCGGGUAAGUUCCGACCUGCACGAAUGGCGUAAUGAUGGCCAGGCUGUCUCCACCCGAGACUCAGUGAAAUUGAACUCGCUGUGAAGAUGCAGUGUACCCGCGGCAAGACGGAAAGACCCCGUGAACCUUUACUAUAGCUUGACACUGAACAUUGAGCCUUGAUGUGUAGGAUAGGUGGGAGGCUUUGAAGUGUGGACGCCAGUCUGCAUGGAGCCGACCUUGAAAUACCACCCUUUAAUGUUUGAUGUUCUAACGUGGACCCGUAAUCCGGGUUGCGGACAGUGUCUGGUGGGUAGUUUGACUGGGGCGGUCUCCUCCUAAAGAGUAACGGAGGAGCACGAAGGUUGGCUAAUCCUGGUCGGACAUCAGGAGGUUAGUGCAAUGGCAUAAGCCAGCUUGACUGCGAGCGUGACGGCGCGAGCAGGUGCGAAAGCAGGUCAUAGUGAUCCGGUGGUUCUGAAUGGAAGGGCCAUCGCUCAACGGAUAAAAGGUACUCCGGGGAUAACAGGCUGAUACCGCCCAAGAGUUCAUAUCGACGGCGGUGUUUGGCACCUCGAUGUCGGCUCAUCACAUCCUGGGGCUGAAGUAGGUCCCAAGGGUAUGGCUGUUCGCCAUUUAAAGUGGUACGCGAGCUGGGUUUAGAACGUCGUGAGACAGUUCGGUCCCUAUCUGCCGUGGGCGCUGGAGAACUGAGGGGGGCUGCUCCUAGUACGAGAGGACCGGAGUGGACGCAUCACUGGUGUUCGGGUUGUCAUGCCAAUGGCACUGCCCGGUAGCUAAAUGCGGAAGAGAUAAGUGCUGAAAGCAUCUAAGCACGAAACUUGCCCCGAGAUGAGUUCU
This 2861-nucleotide ribosomal RNA is filed under the name Salmonella enterica subsp. enterica serovar Typhimurium var. 5-. Its description in RNAcentral is "bacterial LSU rRNA". It matches the Rfam family "Bacterial large subunit ribosomal RNA". The record is from RNAcentral. Lineage: Bacteria; Pseudomonadati; Pseudomonadota; Gammaproteobacteria; Enterobacterales; Enterobacteriaceae.